CACUAAAUGGAUCCGGAUUGGUGGAGCUCCGACCCGAUUAUGUUCAGAUGAUAAGAAUAAGUAAAGAUCAAAAAUAAGAGAAAAAAUAAUUCAUCCUGCUAAAAAAUGGGACCAAGACGAGAAAUUCAUUUCUUGAUCCAUCUAAUCUGUCAAAAUUUUGCUUCAACUUUGAUUCUUUUCAAAUGAAACGGUAAAUUAUAAUAAAUAUUUAUAUAUUACAUAUUUAUUUUAACUGUCCAAAAAAAUAGAGCAGGAGAAGGAAGAGUCGUUCGUCCUCCGAUUCU
RNAcentral lists this long non-coding RNA (284 nucleotides) under Ananas comosus (pineapple). RNAcentral's name for it is "long non-coding RNA (ACOM_LNC018561)". Lineage: Eukaryota; Viridiplantae; Streptophyta; Magnoliopsida; Poales; Bromeliaceae. The record is from RNAcentral.